RNAcentral lists this ribosomal RNA (253 nucleotides) under uncultured bacterium. RNAcentral's name for it is "partial 16S ribosomal RNA". It matches the Rfam family "Bacterial small subunit ribosomal RNA", at positions 524 to 776 of the family's 1533-position model. The record is from RNAcentral.
UACAGAGGUUUCAAGCGUUGUUCGGAUUCAUUGGGCGUAAAGGGUGCGUAGGCGGCGCGGUAAGUCGGGUGUGAAAUCUCGGAGCUUAACUCCGAAACUGCAUUCGAUACUGCCGUGCUUGAGGACUGGAGAGGAGACUGGAAUUUACGGUGUAGCGGUGAAAUGCGUAGAUAUCGUAAGGAAGACCAGUGGCGAAGGCGGGUCUCUGGACAGUUCCUGACGCUGAGGCACGAAGGUCAGGGGAGCAAACAGG